RNAcentral lists this ribosomal RNA (484 nucleotides) under uncultured bacterium. RNAcentral describes it as "partial 16S ribosomal RNA". It matches the Rfam family "Bacterial small subunit ribosomal RNA", at positions 30 to 507 of the family's 1533-position model. The record is from RNAcentral.
AUUGAACGCUGGCGGCAUGCUUUACACAUGCAAGUCGAACGGCAGCACGGGCUUCGGCCUGGUGGCGAGUGGCGAACGGGUGAGUAAUAUAUCGGAACGUACCCAGAAGUGGGGGAUAACGUAGCGAAAGUUACGCUAAUACCGCAUACGAUCUAUGGAUGAAAGCAGGGGACCGCAAGGCCUUGUGCUCCUGGAGCGGCCGAUAUCUGAUUAGCUAGUUGGUGAGGUAAAGGCUCACCAAGGCGACGAUCAGUAGCUGGCCUGAGAGGACGACCAGCCACACUGGAACUGAGACACGGUCCAGACUCCUACGGGAGGCAGCAGUGGGGAAUUUUGGACAAUGGGCGCAAGCCUGAUCCAGCAAUGCCGCGUGAGUGAAGAAGGCCUUCGGGUUGUAAAGCUCUUUUGUCAGGGAAGAAACGGUAGAGGCUAAUAUCCUUUGCUAAUGACGGUACCUGAAGAAUAAGCACCGGCUAACUACGUG